UACGGAGGGUGCAAGCGUUAUCCGGAAUCACUGGGUUUAAAGGGUGCGUAGGUGGCUUUAUAAGUCAGCUGUGAAAUGUCUGGGCUUAACCGAGGCAUUGCGGUUGAUACUGUAGGGCUUGAAUCAAGUUGAGGUAGCUAGAAUGUGACAUGUAGCGGUGAAAUGCAUAGAUAUGUCAUAGAAUACCAAUUGCGAAGGCAGGUUGCUAGACUUUGAUUGACACUGAGGCACGAAAGCGUGGGGAUCAAACAGG
Molecule: ribosomal RNA, 253 nt
Filed under: uncultured bacterium
Lineage: Bacteria
Description: partial 16S ribosomal RNA
Rfam family: Bacterial small subunit ribosomal RNA
Source: RNAcentral